GACGAACGCUGGCGGCGUGCCUAAUACAUGCAAGUAGAACGCUGAAGGAGGAGCUUGCUUCUCCGGAUGAGUUGCGAACGGGUGAGUAACGCGUAGGUAACCUGCCUGGUAGCGGGGGAUAACUAUUGGAAACGAUAGCUAAUACCGCAUAACAGUAGAUAUUGCAUGAUAUCUGCUUGAAAGGUGCAAUUGCAUCACUACCAGAUGGACCUGCGUUGUAUUAGCUAGUUGGUGGGGUAACGGCUCACCAAGGCGACGAUACAUAGCCGACCUGAGAGGGUGAUCGGCCACACUGGGACUGAGACACGGCCCAGACUCCUACGGGAGGCAGCAGUAGGGAAUCUUCGGCAAUGGACGGAAGUCUGACCGAGCAACGCCGCGUGAGUGAAGAAGGGUUUCGGAUCGUAAAGCUCGGUUGUAAGAGAAGAACGAGUGUGAGAGUGGAAAGUUCACACUGUGACGGUAUCUUACCAGAAAGGGACGGCUAACUACGUG
Molecule: ribosomal RNA, 495 nt
Filed under: uncultured bacterium
Lineage: Bacteria
Description: partial 16S ribosomal RNA
Rfam family: Bacterial small subunit ribosomal RNA
Source: RNAcentral